RNAcentral lists this ribosomal RNA (2903 nucleotides) under Escherichia coli. RNAcentral describes it as "23S ribosomal RNA". It matches the Rfam family "Bacterial large subunit ribosomal RNA". The record is from RNAcentral. Lineage: Bacteria; Pseudomonadati; Pseudomonadota; Gammaproteobacteria; Enterobacterales; Enterobacteriaceae.
GGUUAAGCGACUAAGCGUACACGGUGGAUGCCCUGGCAGUCAGAGGCGAUGAAGGACGUGCUAAUCUGCGAUAAGCGUCGGUAAGGUGAUAUGAACCGUUAUAACCGGCGAUUUCCGAAUGGGGAAACCCAGUGUGUUUCGACACACUAUCAUUAACUGAAUCCAUAGGUUAAUGAGGCGAACCGGGGGAACUGAAACAUCUAAGUACCCCGAGGAAAAGAAAUCAACCGAGAUUCCCCCAGUAGCGGCGAGCGAACGGGGAGCAGCCCAGAGCCUGAAUCAGUGUGUGUGUUAGUGGAAGCGUCUGGAAAGGCGCGCGAUACAGGGUGACAGCCCCGUACACAAAAAUGCACAUGCUGUGAGCUCGAUGAGUAGGGCGGGACACGUGGUAUCCUGUCUGAAUAUGGGGGGACCAUCCUCCAAGGCUAAAUACUCCUGACUGACCGAUAGUGAACCAGUACCGUGAGGGAAAGGCGAAAAGAACCCCGGCGAGGGGAGUGAAAAAGAACCUGAAACCGUGUACGUACAAGCAGUGGGAGCACGCUUAGGCGUGUGACUGCGUACCUUUUGUAUAAUGGGUCAGCGACUUAUAUUCUGUAGCAAGGUUAACCGAAUAGGGGAGCCGAAGGGAAACCGAGUCUUAACUGGGCGUUAAGUUGCAGGGUAUAGACCCGAAACCCGGUGAUCUAGCCAUGGGCAGGUUGAAGGUUGGGUAACACUAACUGGAGGACCGAACCGACUAAUGUUGAAAAAUUAGCGGAUGACUUGUGGCUGGGGGUGAAAGGCCAAUCAAACCGGGAGAUAGCUGGUUCUCCCCGAAAGCUAUUUAGGUAGCGCCUCGUGAAUUCAUCUCCGGGGGUAGAGCACUGUUUCGGCAAGGGGGUCAUCCCGACUUACCAACCCGAUGCAAACUGCGAAUACCGGAGAAUGUUAUCACGGGAGACACACGGCGGGUGCUAACGUCCGUCGUGAAGAGGGAAACAACCCAGACCGCCAGCUAAGGUCCCAAAGUCAUGGUUAAGUGGGAAACGAUGUGGGAAGGCCCAGACAGCCAGGAUGUUGGCUUAGAAGCAGCCAUCAUUUAAAGAAAGCGUAAUAGCUCACUGGUCGAGUCGGCCUGCGCGGAAGAUGUAACGGGGCUAAACCAUGCACCGAAGCUGCGGCAGCGACACUAUGUGUUGUUGGGUAGGGGAGCGUUCUGUAAGCCUGUGAAGGUGUGCUGUGAGGCAUGCUGGAGGUAUCAGAAGUGCGAAUGCUGACAUAAGUAACGAUAAAGCGGGUGAAAAGCCCGCUCGCCGGAAGACCAAGGGUUCCUGUCCAACGUUAAUCGGGGCAGGGUGAGUCGACCCCUAAGGCGAGGCCGAAAGGCGUAGUCGAUGGGAAACAGGUUAAUAUUCCUGUACUUGGUGUUACUGCGAAGGGGGGACGGAGAAGGCUAUGUUGGCCGGGCGACGGUUGUCCCGGUUUAAGCGUGUAGGCUGGUUUUCCAGGCAAAUCCGGAAAAUCAAGGCUGAGGCGUGAUGACGAGGCACUACGGUGCUGAAGCAACAAAUGCCCUGCUUCCAGGAAAAGCCUCUAAGCAUCAGGUAACAUCAAAUCGUACCCCAAACCGACACAGGUGGUCAGGUAGAGAAUACCAAGGCGCUUGAGAGAACUCGGGUGAAGGAACUAGGCAAAAUGGUGCCGUAACUUCGGGAGAAGGCACGCUGAUAUGUAGGUGAAGCGACUUGCUCGUGGAGCUGAAAUCAGUCGAAGAUACCAGCUGGCUGCAACUGUUUAUUAAAAACACAGCACUGUGCAAACACGAAAGUGGACGUAUACGGUGUGACGCCUGCCCGGUGCCGGAAGGUUAAUUGAUGGGGUCAGCGCAAGCGAAGCUCUUGAUCGAAGCCCCGGUAAACGGCGGCCGUAACUAUAACGGUCCUAAGGUAGCGAAAUUCCUUGUCGGGUAAGUUCCGACCUGCACGAAUGGCGUAAUGAUGGCCAGGCUGUCUCCACCCGAGACUCAGUGAAAUUGAACUCGCUGUGAAGAUGCAGUGUACCCGCGGCAAGACGGAAAGACCCCGUGAACCUUUACUAUAGCUUGACACUGAACAUUGAGCCUUGAUGUGUAGGAUAGGUGGGAGGCUUUGAAGUGUGGACGCCAGUCUGCAUGGAGCCGACCUUGAAAUACCACCCUUUAAUGUUUGAUGUUCUAACGUUGACCCGUAAUCCGGGUUGCGGACAGUGUCUGGUGGGUAGUUUGACUGGGGCGGUCUCCUCCUAAAGAGUAACGGAGGAGCACGAAGGUUGGCUAAUCCUGGUCGGACAUCAGGAGGUUAGUGCAAUGGCAUAAGCCAGCUUGACUGCGAGCGUGACGGCGCGAGCAGGUGCGAAAGCAGGUCAUAGUGAUCCGGUGGUUCUGAAUGGAAGGGCCAUCGCUCAACGGAUAAAAGGUACUCCGGGGAUAACAGGCUGAUACCGCCCAAGAGUUCAUAUCGACGGCGGUGUUUGGCACCUCGAUGUCGGCUCAUCACAUCCUGGGGCUGAAGUAGGUCCCAAGGGUAUGGCUGUUCGCCAUUUAAAGUGGUACGCGAGCUGGGUUUAGAACGUCGUGAGACAGUUCGGUCCCUAUCUGCCGUGGGCGCUGGAGAACUGAGGGGGGCUGCUCCUAGUACGAGAGGACCGGAGUGGACGCAUCACUGGUGUUCGGGUUGUCAUGCCAAUGGCACUGCCCGGUAGCUAAAUGCGGAAGAGAUAAGUGCUGAAAGCAUCUAAGCACGAAACUUGCCCCGAGAUGAGUUCUCCCUGACUCCUUGAGAGUCCUGAAGGAACGUUGAAGACGACGACGUUGAUAGGCCGGGUGUGUAAGCGCAGCGAUGCGUUGAGCUAACCGGUACUAAUGAACCGUGAGGCUUAACCUU